UCCGUAGGCGGGCGUCUAAGUCAGUGGUGAAAUCUUACAGCUCAACUGUAAAAUUGCCAUUGAUACUGGAUGUCUUGAAUUAGUGUGAAGUGGUUAGAAUGUGUAGUGUAGCGGUGAAAUGCAUAGAUAUUACACAGAAUACCAAUUGCGAAGGCAGAUCACUAACACUAUAUUGACGCUGAGGGACGAAAGCGUAGGGAGCGAACAGGAUUAGAUACCCUGGUAGUCC
Molecule: ribosomal RNA, 229 nt
Filed under: uncultured bacterium
Lineage: Bacteria
Description: partial 16S ribosomal RNA
Rfam family: Bacterial small subunit ribosomal RNA
Source: RNAcentral